Molecule: ribosomal RNA, 475 nt
Filed under: uncultured bacterium
Lineage: Bacteria
Description: bacterial SSU rRNA
Rfam family: Bacterial small subunit ribosomal RNA
Source: RNAcentral
GAUGAACGCUGGCGGCGUGCCUCAAGCAUGCAAGUCGAGCGGGGCUAUGUAAUAUCGCAAGGUAGAACAUAGCCUAGCGGCGAACGGGUGAGUAACACGUGGGUAACCUGCCUGGAAGACAGGGAUAACGAUUCGAAAGGGUCGCUAAUACCUGAUAAUAUCCUUUCAUCGCAUGGUGAUAGGAAGAAAGGGGAAACCCGCUUUCAGAUGGGCCCGCGUCCCAUCAGCUAGUUGGUAAGGUAAAGGCUUACCAAGGCGACGACGGGUAGCCGGUCUGAGAGGAUGUACGGCCACACUGGGACUGAGAUACGGCCCAGACUCCUACGGGAGGCAGCAGUUGGGAAUCUUAGGCAAUGGACGAAAGUCUGACCUAGCGACGCCGCGUGAGGGAAGAAGGCCUUCGGGUUGUAAACCUCUGUCAUGGGGGAAGAAGGAAGUGACGGUACCCCAAGAGGAAGCCCCUGCUAACUACGUG